AGUAAGCCAAAAAACAGAUCAGGAGUGACACCACAAUACCCACGGGGAUCGACUUCUGAGGGUUACGGACCUCCUCGCCUUCAACAGAAUAAAAACAUACGUCUGGAUUCUAAAAUGACACAAACGUCUGAACUUGACUGGAGAAUCUGACCUGCCAGAAGCAUGAUAAGUGCAGCUGCAAAGAAGUCUGGGUAAGGAGCGAGUCCAGGACAGCAGCAGGUUCCAUCCUGUAAUGAAGGCCCACACUUCUCCCACAGUCACGUAGCUGUACAGAUACGCAGAACCUGUUUUGGGCACACGGGCACCGAACUCGGCGUAGCACAACCCGGCAAAC
Molecule: long non-coding RNA, 334 nt
Organism: Silurus meridionalis
Lineage: Eukaryota; Metazoa; Chordata; Actinopteri; Siluriformes; Siluridae
Exons: 3
Source: RefSeq, a predicted model, not a curated record